AAAAACUUGCAUGCAAUUUUAUUCUCAACAGGCUUAUAUUUAAACCACUUGCUAUCCUACAGAAGAAAAGAAAGAUAUUAUGUGAAAUGGAACAGGUACAAUAGACAUUGUAAAGUGCUUUUGAUACAAAUUUAGUGAGGUCUUUAUUAUGGACUUCAAAUUUUAUGUACCAAGCUCCCCACUUUUUACUUCAUCCAAACAGGGCGUUAGACAAGGGUCAUUUAUACAACACAUUUUGCACAUAUUGUCUGAGAUAAUCUUCUUUUCUGUAGAUUCAGAGUUCAUAAAUAAGUAAAAGAACUAGAUAAAGGCAUAGAAACACAAAUAUUGACACAUGAAAACCUGUCAGAUAGAAAGUCAGGAUGCCAUUUAUGCAUCAAUAUUGAAAAAGCUAUAAAUGCCUAUUUUGACCAUAAAAUGCCAAAAUUGGUCAUUUUUGCAGAAAUUCUAUAAAAUAAAAGUUUAAAUCCUUUAGUUUCAUGCUAUUUGACAGAUUGACACCAUCAAAUCAUU
This 513-nucleotide long non-coding RNA is filed under the name Mytilus galloprovincialis (Mediterranean mussel). Lineage: Eukaryota; Metazoa; Mollusca; Bivalvia; Mytilida; Mytilidae. The record is from RNAcentral.